AAUGAACGCUGGCGGCAUGCCUUACACAUGCAAGUCGAACGGCAGCAUGACCUAGCUUGCUAGGUUGAUGGCGAGUGGCGAACGGGUGAGUAAUGCAUCGGAACGUGCCUUUUAGUGGGGGAUAACGUAGCGAAAGUUACGCUAAUACCGCAUAUUCUCUGAGGAGGAAAGCAGGGGACCUUCGGGCCUUGCGCUAGAAGAGCGGCCGAUGUCGGAUUAGCUAGUUGGUGGGGUAAAGGCUCACCAAGGCAACGAUCCGUAGCGGGUCUGAGAGGAUGAUCCGCCACACUGGGACUGAGACACGGCCCAGACUCCUACGGGAGGCAGCAGUGGGGAAUGGUGGACAAUGGGCGCAAGCCUGAUCCAGCCAUGCCGCGUGAGUGAAGAAGGCCUUCGGGUUGUAAAGCUCUUUCGGCUGGGAAGAAAUCGCACCCUCUAAUACAGGGUGUGGAUGACGGUACCAGCAUAAGAAGCACCGGCUAACUACGUG
Molecule: ribosomal RNA, 490 nt
Filed under: uncultured bacterium
Lineage: Bacteria
Description: partial 16S ribosomal RNA
Rfam family: Bacterial small subunit ribosomal RNA
Source: RNAcentral